GGGCGUAAAGCGCACGCAGGCGGUUUGUCAAGUCGGAUGUGAAAUCCCCGGGCUCAACCUGGGAACUGCAUUCGAAACUGGCAGGCUUGAGUCUUGUAGAGGGGGGUAGAAUUCCAGGUGUAGCGGUGAAAUGCGUAGAGAUCUGGAGGAAUACCGGUGGCGAAGGCGGCCCCCUGGACAAAGACUGACGCUCAGGUGCGAAAGCGUGGGGAGCAAACAGGAUUAGAUACCCUGGUAGUCCACGCCGUAAACGAUGUCUACUUGGAGGUUGUGCCCUUGAGGCGUGGCUUCCGGAGCUAACGCGUUAAGUAGACCGCCUGGGGAGUACGGCCGCAAGGUUAAAACUCAAAUGAAUUGACGGGGGCCCGCACAAGCGGUGGAGCAUGUGGUUUAAUUCGAUGCAACGCGAAGAACCUUACCUGGUCUUGACAUCCACGGAAGUUUUCAGAGA
RNAcentral lists this ribosomal RNA (451 nucleotides) under Salmonella enterica subsp. enterica serovar Cerro. RNAcentral's name for it is "bacterial SSU rRNA". It matches the Rfam family "Bacterial small subunit ribosomal RNA", at positions 556 to 1006 of the family's 1533-position model. The record is from RNAcentral. Lineage: Bacteria; Pseudomonadati; Pseudomonadota; Gammaproteobacteria; Enterobacterales; Enterobacteriaceae.